AUGUGUAUCACUUCACAGAUUAAGGAUGUAGCUACAAUCAUUAUUAGUCUUUUUGGUUAUCUUCCUUUAAAAAAAAAGCAGCUUAGAGACCUACUGGCUGCUCUGGAUCAAGAUUAUAAGCAGAUUUCGUAUAUUUGGACAACAGACAGAGAUUUUGUUUCAUAUAUGCAUAUGCCUUUAUUGUAUAAUUCAGUUCUGCCACCACAUUUUUACCACCUACAUGAAUUUCCCCUAUACCAGAUAUUAACGUUUGAAAUUAGUGACAUCUACUCAAAUAAAUAUCCACAGGUUGUGGCAUAG
This 300-nucleotide ribosomal RNA is filed under the name Triticum aestivum (bread wheat). RNAcentral describes it as "partial small subunit ribosomal RNA". The record is from RNAcentral. Lineage: Eukaryota; Viridiplantae; Streptophyta; Magnoliopsida; Poales; Poaceae.